GCCAGACUCGUACGGGAGGCAGCAGUGGGGAAUAUUGCACAAUGGGGGAAACCCUGAUGCAGCGACGCCGCGUGAGCGAAGAAGUAUUUCGGUAUGUAAAGCUCUAUCAGCAGGGAAGAAAAAAAUGACGGUACCUGAGUAAGAAGCACCGGCUAAAUACGUGCCAGCAGCCGCGGUAAUACGUAUGGUGCAAGCGUUAUCCGGAUUUACUGGGUGUAAAGGGAGCGUAGGCGGCGCGUUAAGUCUGAUGUGAAAACCCGAGGCUCAACCACGGGAGUGCAUUGGAAACUGGCGGGCUGGAGUGCCGGAGAGGUAAGCGGAAUUCCUAGUGUAGCGGUGAAAUGCGUAGAUAUUAGGAGGAACACCAGUGGCGAAGGCGGCUUACUGGACGGCAACUGACGCUGAGGCUCGAAAGCGUGGGGAGCAAACAGGAUUAGAUACCCCCGUAA
This 449-nucleotide ribosomal RNA is filed under the name uncultured bacterium. Its description in RNAcentral is "partial 16S ribosomal RNA". It matches the Rfam family "Bacterial small subunit ribosomal RNA", at positions 330 to 793 of the family's 1533-position model. The record is from RNAcentral.